Molecule: ribosomal RNA, 513 nt
Filed under: uncultured bacterium
Lineage: Bacteria
Description: partial 16S ribosomal RNA
Rfam family: Bacterial small subunit ribosomal RNA
Source: RNAcentral
GACGAACGCUGGCGGCGUGCCUAAUACAUGCAAGUUGAGCGCUGAAGGUUGGUACUUGUACCGACUGGAUGAGCAGCGAACGGGUGAGUAACGCGUGGGGAAUCUGCCUUUGAGCGGGGGACAACAUUUGGAAACGAAUGCUAAUACCGCAUAAAAACUUUAAACACAAGUUUUAAGUUUGAAAGAUGCAAUUGCAUCACUCAAAGAUGAUCCCGCGUUGUAUUAGCUAGUUGGUGAGGUAAAGGCUAACCAAGGCGAUGAUACAUAGCAGACCUGAGAGGGUGAUCGGCCACAUUGAGAAUGGUACUCGGCCCCAACUCCUACGGGAGGCAGCAGUAGUGAAUCUUCGGCAAUGGACGAAAGUCUGACCGAGCAACGCCGCGUGAGCGAAGAAGGUUUUCGGAUCGUAAAACUCUGUUGGUAGAGAAGAACGUUGGUGAGAGUGGAAAGCUCAUCAAGUGACGGUAACUACCCAGAAAGGGACGGCUAACUACGUGCCAGCCGCCGCCGUAA